AGUUUGAUCCUGGCUCAGAUUGAACGCUGGCGGCAGGCCUAACACAUGCAAGUCGAACGGUAACAGGAAGCAGCUUGCUGCUUCGCUGACGAGUGGCGGACGGGUGAGUAAUGUCUGGGAAACUGCCUGAUGGAGGGGGAUAACUACUGGAAACGGUAGCUAAUACCGCAUAACGUCGCAAGACCAAAGAGGGGGACCUUCGGGCCUCUUGCCAUCGGAUGUGCCCAGAUGGGAUUAGCUAGUAGGUGGGGUAACGGCUCACCUAGGCGACGAUCCCUAGCUGGUCUGAGAGGAUGACCAGCC
This 303-nucleotide ribosomal RNA is filed under the name Escherichia coli. RNAcentral describes it as "bacterial SSU rRNA". It matches the Rfam family "Bacterial small subunit ribosomal RNA", at positions 10 to 309 of the family's 1533-position model. Lineage: Bacteria; Pseudomonadati; Pseudomonadota; Gammaproteobacteria; Enterobacterales; Enterobacteriaceae. The record is from RNAcentral.